UACAGAGGUCUCAACCGUUGUUCGGAUUCAUUGGGCGUAAAGGGUGCGUAGGCGGUCUGGUAAGUCGGAUGUGAAAUCUCAGGGCUCAACCCUGAAACUGCAUUCGAUACUGCUAGGCUUGAGUACUGGAGGGGAGACUGGAAUUUACGGUGUAGCAGUGAAAUGCGUAGAUAUCGUAAGGAAGACCAGUGGCGAAGGCGAGUCUCUGGACAGUUACUGACGCUGAGGCACGAAGGCCAGGGGAGCAAACGGG
Molecule: ribosomal RNA, 253 nt
Filed under: uncultured bacterium
Lineage: Bacteria
Description: partial 16S ribosomal RNA
Rfam family: Bacterial small subunit ribosomal RNA
Source: RNAcentral